UGAAAAAAUAUAGAAACGAACCAAGUCUCUCUUCUAAAUGCAUAAAAUCAUUAAAGGAUGUUUUACAUGAGCUUCUGACUAAUCUUAUUUCUUCUUUCAACCAAGUAUCUUUUCUAUUUUCUUUUAAACUAAAAUAUCUGAUAAAUAUCAACAUGGGACCCUGGCAUCAAUAAAAAGUUGCAUGCAACCUAAUAAAUAUAAAAUAGGAAAUCCAUCUGAUCCAACAAGUCCAAUCCUUGAAGAAAGGACAAAAUAAUAAGCCCAAGUCAUGA
This 272-nucleotide long non-coding RNA is filed under the name Phoenix dactylifera (date palm). RNAcentral describes it as "long non-coding RNA (PDAC_LNC006904)". Lineage: Eukaryota; Viridiplantae; Streptophyta; Magnoliopsida; Arecales; Arecaceae. The record is from RNAcentral.